Sarcophilus harrisii (Tasmanian devil) is the source of this 677-nucleotide long non-coding RNA. RefSeq lists it as uncharacterized. The record is from RefSeq and is a predicted model, not a curated record. The transcript has 3 exons. NCBI's taxonomy places the organism in Eukaryota, Metazoa, Chordata, Mammalia, Dasyuromorphia, Dasyuridae.
CCUGUGUCAGGGCUGGAGAGCUGGUGAUGAGCUAGUUACUGGUCAGGACGCCAAGCCAUAGCCUCAGAGAAAUGUAGGAGGAGGCUAAAGAAAACUCUAGAUUUCCUCUUGUGUUGGAGAGAACUGAGAGAUACCCUCAAGAACAUUGUAGAUCAAGACCCUCCCCUCCACUUAUAAAACUUCUACAUCCAGACUCCAACAUCUAGAGAUUAGUAGAAUGGGAACCCCAUUUCUAGAACCUAGAUGGAGAAACCAAAGGCCGGAAGAGUCAAGCCAUUUGUCCACAAUCACAUGAUCCCGGGUCUCCACACUCCAGAUACCUCCAAAGCUUGCCAAGAGCCACCCAGGAACAGAUUUCUUCAUUUAUCUGUCACAUCUGCUCCUGACUCCUACUCCCUGGUACUCUCUCCAAGUGAACUGCUUACCACAAAACCAUUUGGGACAACAGGGACCAUAGAGCUGAUCCAUAUUGCUCCGAUAACUUAGAUUGGUUCACUUAAUUUUUCAAGUACGGUGAGUACUACCCCAAAUCUAUAUAACUGAUGCAAUUAUCUCCGACUCCGUUAAUCCCGAGUCCUGCUCUUGAUUUCAAGUCAGAUAAAUCAAGUUUUUGCCCUUUAUUCAUUUUAAAUAAUUGACUUAGAAAUCAGACAAGCAGGAUGGUUUUAAAAGCUAGA